This 699-nucleotide long non-coding RNA is filed under the name Rosa chinensis. Its description in RNAcentral is "sRNA RchiOBHm_Chr6g0281371". The record is from RNAcentral. Lineage: Eukaryota; Viridiplantae; Streptophyta; Magnoliopsida; Rosales; Rosaceae.
CGUCUCUGGGCACCCAGGCUUCUUCUCUCGAUCGAUCGUCAACACCAACGGCCAGCGCCUCCGCUGAGCUCCAUCAUCACCGCUCCACCGCUGGGUCAUCACCACCCAACUUCCUCCGCUCCGCUAGGCAUCGCCACCAAGCUCUACUGCUACCGCCAGUAGGCCAUCCUCCACCGGAAACGGAUCGCUAGCCAACCUCCGACGGAAAAUCUUCCGCCACACUGUACACCGCCAAUCUUUGGUGCACCAUCUGCAGAGCAGUCCACCGGCCAUCUCCCGCUAGCAAAUCACAGCGGCAAAACUUCGGCGGCGAACUUCGCCGGCCAAACUCGAUUACCGCUGACCAGAGCUCCGUCAACGAGCUCCGCUAGCUGAGCUCUGCCGCGCACCACCGCUAGCUCCAGCAGAGAUUACCGCUCACACCAUCACUGGUCACACUGCUAGCGGACGUACCACCAGCAAUCAACCGCUGGGCAAAGCCCCGUUCCCGCUGACAAGACCUCUCCGUUGAGCGUCAAAACCUCCGCUGGUAUCAAAGCUCAGCUGGCCAACAGUUCCGCCGUCCAAGAUCCUCUGGUGUCACAAAGCUCCACUCCGCUGACCAUGAUCAUUUAGCCAACCUCCGCUAGGCACCUCCGCCGGACAACCCACUAGCUCCAUCAACGACCUCCGCCGAACUCAAAACCUCCGCUGAGCUCC